UGGUCAAGUUAUUAAGGGUGCAGGGCGGAUGCCUUGGCACUAGGAGCCGAUGAAGGACGUGAUAAGCUGCGAUAAGCUUCGGGGAGUUGCACGUAAACUUUGAUCCGAAGAUUUCCGAAUGAGGAAACUCACUUAGAGUAAUGUCUAAGUAUCAUUAAGUGAAUACAUAGCUUAAUGAGGGGAACUCAGGGAACUGAAACAUCUAAGUACCUGAAGGAAGAGAAAGAAAUUCGAUUCCGUAAGUAGCGGCGAGCGAACGCGGAUUAGCCCAAACCAAUAAAGUUUUCUUUAUUGGGGUUGCGGACAUAUCAUAACGAAGAGGUAUCGUAAUUGAAGAGGUUUGGAAAGACCCACCACAGAAGGUAAUAGUCCUGUAUGUUAAACGAGAAGACUUCAGAUAUGAUCCAGAGUACCACGGGACACGUGAAACCCUGUGGGAAGCAGGAGGGACCACCCUCCAAGGCUAAAUACUACCUAGUGACCGAUAGCGUAUAGUACCGUGAGGGAAAGGUGAAAAGAACCCCGGGAGGGGAGUGAAAUAGAACCUGAAACCCUGCACUUACAAGCUGUGGAAGCACAUUUCUUGUGUGACCGCGUACUUUUUGUAGAACGGGCCAACGAGUUACGUUAAGUAGCAAGGUUAAGCACUUAAGGUGCGGAGCCGUAGCGAAAGCGAGUUUUAACUGAGCGUUCAGUUACUUGACGUAGACCCGAAACCGGGCGACCUACCCAUGAGCAGGAUGAAGCGAAAGUAAAAUUUCGUGGAGGUCCGAACCCACGAGCGUUGAAAAGCUCGGGGAUGACUUGUGGGUAGCGGUGAAAUUCCAAUCGAGCCCGGAGAUAGCUGGUUCUCCCCGAAAUAGCUUUAGGGCUAGCCUCAAGGUGAGAGAUACGGAGGUAGAGCACUGAAUGUCCUAGGGGGUAUUGCACCUACCGAAGACUAUCAAACUCCGAAUGCCGUCAUCUUAUACUUGGGAGUCAGACUGUGGGUGAUAAGAUUCAUAGUCGAAAGGGCAACAGCCCAGAUCGUCAGCUAAGGUCCCUAAAUGUAAGUUAAGUGGUAAAGGAUGUGGGAUUGCACAGACAACCAGGAUGUUGGCUUAGAAGCAGCCACUCAUUCAAAGAGUGCGUAAUAGCUCACUGGUCGAGUGAUCCUGCGCCGAAGAUUUCCGGGGCUAAAACUUACUACCGAAGCUACGGCAUCAGUAAUGAUGGGUAGGGGAGCUUCCCAUACGGGUUGAAGCAUGACCGUAAGGACAUGUGGACAGUAUGGGAGUGAGAAUGUUGGCAUGAGUAGCGAGAUGUGGGUGAGAAUCCCACAGGCCGUAAACCCAAGGUUUCCAGGGGAAGGUUCGUCCGCCCUGGGUUAGUCGGGACCUAAGCUGAGGCCGAAAGGCGUAGGUGAUGGACAACAGGUUGAUAUUCCUGUACUACCGAUAACCGUUUGAGAGAAGGGAUGACACAGUAGGAUAAGCUAAGCACACUGUUGGUUAUGUGUGCCCAAGCAUUGAGGCAGUCAAAGUAGGCAAAUCCGCUUUGAUAAUGCUGGGAUGUGAUGGGGAGCGAAAUUUAGUAGCGAAGUAGCUGAUUUCACACUGUCAAGAAAAGUCUCUAUCGAGGUUAAAGGUACCCGUACCGCAAACCGACACAGGUGGGUGAGGAGAGUAUCCUAAGGCCAGCGAGAGAACUGUUGUUAAGGAACUCGGCAAAAUGACCCCGUAACUUAGGGAUAAGGGGUGCCACCAUCAGGUGGCCGCAGAGAAUAGGCCCAAGCGACUGUUUACCAAAAACAUAGGUUUCUGCUAAGUCGCAAGACGAUGUAUAGGAGCUGACGCCUGCCCGGUGCUGGAAGGUUAAGGGGAUCUGUUAGAGCAAUCGAAGCAGUGAACUUAAGCCCCAGUAAACGGCGGCCGUAACUAUAACGGUCCUAAGGUAGCGAAAUUCCUUGUCGGGUAAGUUCCGACCCGCACGAAAGGCGUAACGAUUUGGGCACUGUCUCAACAACAGACUCGGUGAAAUUGUAAUUCCGGUGAAGAUGCCGGAUACCUGCGACAGGACGGAAAGACCCCAUGGAGCUUUACUGUAGCUUGACAUUGGGUCUUGGUACUACAUGUACAGGAUAGGUGGGAGGCUUUGAAACCAGGACGCCAGUUUUGGCGGAGCCAUCCUUGGGAUACCACCCUUGUAGUACUGGGACUCUAACCAUAGGCCAUGAAUCUGGUCUUGGGACACUGUCAGGUGGGCAGUUUGACUGGGGCGGUCGCCUCCCAAAAGGUAACGGAGGCGCUCAAAGGUUCUCUCAGUACGGUCGGAAAUCGUACGUAGAGUGUAAAGGCAAAAGAGAGCUUGAUUGCAAGACAUACAGGUCGAGCAAGGAUGAAAAUCGGACUUAGUGAUCCGGUGGUUCUGCGUGGAAGGGCCAUCGCUCAACGGAUAAAAGCUACCCUGGGGAUAACAGGCUUAUCUCCCCCAAGAGUCCACAUCGACGGGGAGGUUUGGCACCUCGAUGUCGGCUCAUCACAUCCUGGGGCUGUAGUAGGUCCCAAGGGUUGGGCUGUUCGCCCAUUAAAGUGGUACGCGAGCUGGGUUCAGAACGUCGUGAGACAGUUCGGUCCCUAUCCGUCGCAGGCGUAGGAAAUUUGAGAAGACCUGUCCUUAGUACGAGAGGACCGGGAUGGACGUACCUCUGGUGUACCAGUUGUCCUGCCAAGGGCAUGGCUGGGUAGCUAUGUACGGAAUGGAUAAGCGCUGAAAGCAUCUAAGCGCGAAGCCAACUUCAAGAUAAGAUUUCCCACCGCAAGGGUAAGACCCCAGAAAGACUAUCUGGUUGAUAGGUCGAAGGUGUAAGUGCAG
Molecule: ribosomal RNA, 2853 nt
Filed under: Clostridioides difficile
Lineage: Bacteria; Bacillati; Bacillota; Clostridia; Peptostreptococcales; Peptostreptococcaceae
Description: partial 23S ribosomal RNA
Rfam family: Bacterial large subunit ribosomal RNA
Source: RNAcentral